This 465-nucleotide ribosomal RNA is filed under the name uncultured bacterium. RNAcentral describes it as "partial 16S ribosomal RNA". It matches the Rfam family "Bacterial small subunit ribosomal RNA", at positions 28 to 507 of the family's 1533-position model. The record is from RNAcentral.
GACGAACGCUGGCGGCGUGCUUAACACAUGCAAGUCGAACGGAAAGGCCCUGCUUGCAGGGUACUCGAGUGGCGAACGGGUGAGUAACACGUGGGUGAUCUGCCCUGCACUUCGGGAUAAGCCUGGGAAACUGGGUCUAUUACCGGAUAGGAGCCAUUUUUCGUGUGAUGGUUGGAAAGUUUUUUCGGUGUAGGAUGAGCUCGCGGCCUAUCAGCUUGUUGGUGGGGUAAUGGCCUACCAAGGAGGCGACGGGUAGCCGGCCUGGGAGGGUGGACGGCCACAUUGGGACUGAGAUACGGCCCCGACUCCUACGGGAGGGAGAAGUGGGGAAUAUUGCACAAUGGGCGCGAGCCUGAUGCAGCGACGCCGCGUGGGGGAUGACGGCCUUCGGGUUGUAAACUCAUUUCGCUAGGGACGAAGCUUUUUGUGACGGUACCUAGAUAAGAAGCACCGGCUAACUACGUG